This 532-nucleotide ribosomal RNA is filed under the name uncultured bacterium. RNAcentral's name for it is "partial 16S ribosomal RNA". The record is from RNAcentral.
ACGGCUACCUUGUUACGACUUCACCCUAAUCAUCUGUCCUACCUUAGACGGCUGACUCCUAUAAAGGUUAUCCCACCGGCUUUGGGUGUUACAGACUCUCAUGGUGUGACGGGCGGUGUGUACAAGGCCCGGGAACGUAUUCACCGCGGCGUGCUGAUCCGCGAUUACUAGCGAUUCCAGCUUCGUGUAGGCGAGUUGCAGCCUACAGUCCGAACUGAGAACGGCUUUAAGAGAUCCGCUUGCCUUCGCAGGUUCGCUUCUCGUUGUACCGUCCAUUGUAGCACGUGUGUAGCCCAGGUCAUAAGGGGCAUGAUGACUUGACGUCAUCCCCACCUUCCUCCGGUUUGUCACCGGCAGUCUCAUUAGAGUGCCCAACUUAAUGAUGGCAACUAAUGACAAGGGUUGCGCUCGUUGCGGGACUUAACCCAACAUCUCACGACACGAGCUGACGACAGCCAUGCACCACCUGUCUCAGCGUCCCCGAAGGGAACACCUAAUCUCUUAGGUUUGCACUGGAUGUCAAGACCUGGUA